CGCAUCUGUGCAUGCAGCAUAUCAAUAAGCGGAGGAAAAGAAACUAACAAGGAUUCCCUUAGUAACGGCGAGUGAAGCGGGAAGAGCUCAAAUUUGAAAUCUUCAAGGUUUUACCUUGACGAAUUGUAGUUUAAAGAAGUGUUUUCUGUUGAAGUUUUGGUAAAAGUUCUUUGGAAUAGGACAUCAUAGAGGGUGAGAAUCCCGUAUUCGACCAUUAUUUUCAGCUGUGUGAUACACUUUCAAAGAGUCGGAUUGUUUGGGAAUGCAGUCCAAAAUGGGUGGUAAAUUUCAUCUAAAGCUAAAUAUUGGCGAGAGACCGAUAGCGAACAAGUACCGUGAGGGAAAGAUGAAAAGAACUUUGAAAAGAGAGUUAAACAGUACGUGAAAUUGUCAAAAGGGAAGCGUUUGACACCAGUGUUGUUUUCUCGAAAAUCAAUUAAAAAUGAGUUUGAUUUUGUAUUGCUGUAUUGACCUUAACAGCUUGCACUGUACAUUUUUCGUGUCUUUUUUUAAUGCACUUUUCGUUUAACAAGUCAACAUCAGUUUCUUUUGUUGUAAAAAGGGUCAUUGGAAGGUGGCUUUCUUUUCGGAGAAAGUGUUUAUAGCCUUUGGCCUCUGCAAUCGGAAGAGACUGAGGUCUGCAGCGUAGACUCUUCGGGGUUAGAUACAUUUGUGCUAAGUUAUAGCUUUUUAUAGACAACUUGUUGACUAUAAUUAGUCUUGUAGCUUACUCGCUUAUGUUAUUUUACCUACGCUUAGGAUGUUGAAGAUAUGCGCGACACG
Molecule: ribosomal RNA, 783 nt
Filed under: uncultured Neocallimastigales
Lineage: Eukaryota; Fungi; Neocallimastigomycota; Neocallimastigomycetes; Neocallimastigales
Description: partial large subunit ribosomal RNA
Rfam family: Eukaryotic large subunit ribosomal RNA
Source: RNAcentral